RNAcentral lists this unclassified non-coding RNA (225 nucleotides) under uncultured fungus. RNAcentral's name for it is "sequence contains ITS1, 5.8S rRNA gene". The stretch from base 177 to 225 matches the Rfam family "5.8S ribosomal RNA", at positions 1 to 49 of the family's 154-position model. Lineage: Eukaryota; Fungi. The record is from RNAcentral.
UUUCCGUAGGUGAACCUGCGGAAGGAUCAUUACUGUGGGCCUUCUUCGGAAGCCCGCAAGAUAGCACCCUUUGCCUUUUUGAGUACCUUUGUUUCCUCGGCAGGCUCGCCUGCCAAUGGGGACCACUUUAAAACCUCUUAUGUAUGCAGUAAACGUCCACAAAUAAAUGAAAUCAAAACUUUCAACAACGGAUCUCUUGGUUCUGGCAUCGAUGAAGAACGCAGC